RNAcentral lists this ribosomal RNA (254 nucleotides) under uncultured bacterium. RNAcentral's name for it is "partial 16S ribosomal RNA". It matches the Rfam family "Bacterial small subunit ribosomal RNA", at positions 524 to 776 of the family's 1533-position model. The record is from RNAcentral.
UACGUAGGGGGCAAGCGUUAUCCGGAUUUACUGGGUGUAAAGGGAGCGUAGGUGGCAUGGUAAGCCAGAAGUGAAAACCCAGGGCUCAACUCUGUGGGUUGCUUUUGGAACUAUCAAGCUAGAGUGCUGGAGGGGUAAGCGGAAUUCCUAGUGUAGCGGUGAAAUGCGUAGAUAUUAGGAGGAACACCGGUGGCGAAGGCGGCUUACUGGACAGAAACUGACACUGAGGCUCGAAAGCGUGGGGAGCAAACAGG